UACGGGGGGGGCAAGCGUUGUUCGGAAUUACUGGGCGUAAAGGGCUCGUAGGCGGCCAACUAAGUCGGACGUGAAAUCCCCAGGCUCAACCUGGGAACUGCGUCCGAUACUGGAUGGCUUGAAUUCGGGAGAGGGAUGCAGAAUUCCAGGUGUAGCGGUGAAAUGCGUAGAUAUCCGGAGGAAUACCGGUGGCGAAGGCGGCAUCCUGGACCGACAUUGACGCUGAGGAGCGAAAGCUAGGGGAGCAAACGGG
Molecule: ribosomal RNA, 253 nt
Filed under: uncultured bacterium
Lineage: Bacteria
Description: partial 16S ribosomal RNA
Rfam family: Bacterial small subunit ribosomal RNA
Source: RNAcentral